RNAcentral lists this ribosomal RNA (200 nucleotides) under uncultured bacterium. RNAcentral describes it as "partial 16S ribosomal RNA". It matches the Rfam family "Bacterial small subunit ribosomal RNA", at positions 524 to 722 of the family's 1533-position model. The record is from RNAcentral.
UACGUAGGGUGCAAGCGUUAAUCGGAAUUACUGGGCGUAAAGCGUGCGCAGGCGGUUAUGUAAGACAGGUGUGAAAUCCCCGGGCUUAACCUGGGAACUGCAUUGGUGACUGGCAGGCUUUGAGUGUGGCAGAGGGAGGUAGAAUUCCACGUGUAGCAGUGAAAUGCGUAGAGAUGUGGAGGAAUACCGAUGGCGAAGGC